RNAcentral lists this ribosomal RNA (468 nucleotides) under uncultured bacterium. RNAcentral describes it as "partial 16S ribosomal RNA". It matches the Rfam family "Bacterial small subunit ribosomal RNA", at positions 28 to 507 of the family's 1533-position model. The record is from RNAcentral.
GACGAACGCUGGCGGCGUGCUUAACACAUGCAAGUCGAACGGUGAAGCUCCAGCUUGCUGGCGUGGAUCAGUGGCGAACGGGUGAGUAACACGUGAGCAACCUGCCCCAGACUCUGGAAUAAGCGCUGGAAACGGCGUCUAAUACUGGAUACGAGAUCAAGCCGCAUGGUUAUGGUCUGGAAAGUUGUUCGGUUUGGGAUGGGCUCGCGGCCUAUCAGCUUGUUGGUGAGGUAAUGGCUCACCAAGGCGACGACGGGUAGCCGGCCUGAGAGGGCGACCGGCCACACUGGGACUGAGACACGGCCCAGACUCCUACGGGAGGCAGCAGUGGGGAAUAUUGCACAAUGGGCGAAAGCCUGAUGCAGCGACGCCGCGUGAGGGAUGACGGCCUUCGGGUUGUAAACCUCUUUCAGCAGGGAAGAAGCGAAAGUGACGGUACCUGCAGAAGAAGCACCGGCUAACUACGUG